CAGGGAUAGACUGGGUUUCAGGGAAGAAGAGCACACACCUAAAAGUCUCAUUCCUAGCACAACACAUCAAAGUGCCCAAGGUCUUGGUCCCUGAAGAUCAGCUGAACCCUGAAAAGGUUUGCUAUGAGAAUGAAAAGAACAAAUGCACAUGAAAAAGCCCCAUUAUGCUCAUAGUGAGAGCACAUUGAGUACUGGCUGUUGGUCUCCUGUGCCAAACAUUGUGUUACUCAUGUGGUACACAGUAUCUCAUUGCAUCCUCACAACAACAAUGCCACAGUGUGUAUGCAUGGCCAUCUCCA
Long non-coding RNA from Acomys russatus (golden spiny mouse), 299 nucleotides. RefSeq lists it as uncharacterized. The transcript has 3 exons. NCBI's taxonomy places the organism in Eukaryota, Metazoa, Chordata, Mammalia, Rodentia, Muridae. The record is from RefSeq and is a predicted model, not a curated record.